ACCCGCUGAACUUAAGCAUAUCAAUAAGCGGAGGAAAAGAAACCAACAGGGAUUGCCUUAGUAACGGCGAGUGAAGCGGCAACAGCUCAAAUUUGAAAGCUGGCCCUUUCAGGGUCCGCAUUGUAAUUUGUAGAGGAUGAUUCGGCGAGGGCUCCCGCCUAAGUCCCCUGGAACGGGGCGUCAUAGAGGGUGAGAAUCCCGUAUGCGGUGGGCUGCCUUUANCCAUGUGAAUCUCCUUCGACGAGUCGAGUUGUUUGGGAAUGCAGCUCUAAAUGGGAGGUAAAUUUCUUCUAAAGCUAAAUACCGGCCAGAGACCGAUAGCGCACAAGUAGAGUGAUCGAAAGAUGAAAAGCACUUUGGAAAGAGAGUUAAAAAGUACGUGAAAUUGUUGAAAGGGAAGCGCUUGCAACCAGACUUGUCCGCAGUUGCUCAGCCGGUCUCCUGACCGGCGUACUCUUCUGCGGCCAGGCCAGCAUCAGUUCGGGCGGUCGGAUAAAGACCUCGGGAAUGUAGCUCCUCUCGGGGAGUGUUAUAGCCCGGGGUGGAAUGCGGCCAGCCUGGACUGAGGAUCUCGCUUCGGCAAGGAUGCUGGCGUAAUGGUUGUAAGCGGCCCGUCUUGAAACACGGACCAAGGAGUCUAACAUCUAUGCGAGUGUUUGGGUGUCAAACCCAUACGCGUAAUGAAAGUGAACGGAGGUGGGAACCCGCAAGGGUGCACCAUCGGCCGAUCCUGAUGUCUUCGGAUGGAUUUGAGCAAGAGCAUAGCUGUUGGGACCCGAAAGAUGGUGAACUAUGCCUGAAUAGGGUGAAGCCAGAGGAAACUCUGGUGGAGGCUCGCAGCGGUUNUGACGUGCAAAUCGAUCGUCAAA
This 869-nucleotide ribosomal RNA is filed under the name fungal sp. mh2658.51. Its description in RNAcentral is "eukaryotic LSU rRNA". It matches the Rfam family "Eukaryotic large subunit ribosomal RNA", at positions 23 to 909 of the family's 3401-position model. The record is from RNAcentral. Lineage: Eukaryota; Fungi.